CUCAGCGCCUGCCAGCAGGAUCUUCCUGUGUGCACGGGGCCGGGGGUUGCUGACUCAGUGCUGAGGAGGGCACCUUGUCAGCGCUCCUGGGCUCCCAGCUCCUCCUGCCUCCCCUUCGUCCCCAGAGGACACCAAAGGGAAGCAGGCAGUGGGGGGAGCUUCUCAGCGUGUCCAGUUUCACUUCUAAACCAGCAUCCAGCCUCCUCGAGUUACCACUCUGACCACGUACAUCUGUUAGUCUUCCGGGCACUUUGGCGAGGAAGCCAUCAGGAACAGUCACACAGGCAUCAUGCUUCACGUACCCAAUUAACACGUGUUUAGCCAGCACCUACUAUGCAUCCAGGACUGGGAUCCAGAGAGAUGUGACUGUAUCUACCCACAACUUUCAGAGGUCUGGCGGGGGAAAAGCCCUCGCAGUCCCGCAGGAAGUAAUGGAGAGAGUGCUGCAGCAGGGCUGUGGAGAGCCGGGGCCGCUGAGCAGCAAGCGGCAGCAGGCUCAGUGUCCCCGAAACUGCAAAUGAACUGCUGGCGCUCUCCUCCUUCACGUGAGAAGGAGAAGGAGAAAAGACAGAUCACAUGCUGCCGGAUGAAAAUUAAAGAAGUGAGGACACCAACAUGGCAUCUACUACGUACCAAACCUUUACAUGCCAAAGAGGGAAGUGGAGAAAUCAAUGAAGGCUCCUGAAGGACGUGUCAGCUCCACCUGAAAACAGGAUGAGUUGAGCAACGGAACUCCUGAUCCUUGUUCCUGACUGUGAAGGCCCAGAGGAUCUCGGGAGCCUCACAACACAGUGGAUUUUCAGUCAGGAGCUUUUUAACUGGCCCGCCUACCAAAGGAAUGGUUUUGUAUAGCCCGGUUAACUUUCC
This 867-nucleotide long non-coding RNA is filed under the name Equus caballus (horse). Its description in RNAcentral is "lncRNA (ENSECAG00000048257.1)". Lineage: Eukaryota; Metazoa; Chordata; Mammalia; Perissodactyla; Equidae. The record is from RNAcentral.